This 466-nucleotide ribosomal RNA is filed under the name uncultured bacterium. RNAcentral's name for it is "bacterial SSU rRNA". It matches the Rfam family "Bacterial small subunit ribosomal RNA", at positions 338 to 795 of the family's 1533-position model. The record is from RNAcentral.
CCUACGGGACGCAGCAGUAGGGAAUCUUCGGCAAUGGACGAAAGUCUGACCGAGCAACGCCGCGUGAGUGAAGAAGGUUUUCGGAUCGUAAAACUCUGUUGUUAGAGAAGAACAAGGAUGAGAGUAAAAUGUUCAUCCCUUGACGGUAUCUAACCAGAAAGCCACGGCUAACUACGUGCCAGCAGCCGCGGUAAUACGUAGGUGGCAAGCGUUGUCCGGAUUUAUUGGGCGUAAAGCGAGCGCAGGCGGUUUCUUAAGUCUGAUGUGAAAGCCCCCGGCUCAACCGGGGAGGGUCAUUGGAAACUGGGAGACUUGAGUGCAGAAGAGGAGAGUGGAAUUCCAUGUGUAGCGGUGAAAUGCGUAGAUAUAUGGAGGAACACCAGUGGCGAAGGCGGCUCUCUGGUCUGUAACUGACGCUGAGGCUCGAAAGCGUGGGGAGCGAACAGGAUUAGAUACCCUGGUAGUC